Molecule: long non-coding RNA, 6563 nt
Filed under: Zostera marina
Lineage: Eukaryota; Viridiplantae; Streptophyta; Magnoliopsida; Alismatales; Zosteraceae
Description: long non-coding RNA (ZMAR_LNC004957)
Source: RNAcentral
CUGCCCAAACCAUCACUCCAUGACUUACCACCGGAGGCUAAGGCGGAGACGCGUACCUCGUUCACAAUGUCCCGUUGUCUCCCGUUUCUCCGUGAGGUUAUGGUGAAGUUGAAAGCGACGACCAACCUUGCGGCCUUGAUUGUAGAUCUGUUCGGUACGGAUGCCUUCGACGUCGUUACGGAUCUCGAGAUCAAUCCUUACAUCAUGUUUCCGUCGACUGCUACGUUGCUGAAUUUCAUGUUCCAUCUCGAGGACCUCGACCAGACCAUACAGGGAGAGUAUCGGGACCAUGCUCAUCUCAUUCAGGUUCCAGGUUGCGUCCCGUUUCACGGUAAAGAUUUGUUGGUGCCGGUGCAGGAUAGGAAGGACCAAGCGUACAGUUUAAUUCUGCGUAAUUCCACCAGAUACAAGGAAGCCGCAGGUAUUUUCUUCAACAGUGCUUCUUCCAUCGAACCUGAGCCCAUCAAGGAGUUGAUGAGUAUGAAUAGUCCUCCUGUUUAUUCCAUCGGACCGAUGAUACAUGAUACUAGCGGUGAAGAUGAUAGCUCUAGCUGUGUCAAGUGGUUGGACGAACAACCACCCGGAUCGGUUCUUUUCGUCAGCUUCGGAAGCGGUGGGAGACUUUCGUCAGAGCAGCUUACCGAACUAGCUAUGGGGUUAGAGAUGAGUGGGCAUAGGUUCCUUUGGAUCGCACGUAGUCCGACGGAAACAGUCCAAGAGAAGAGCAAGAACGACCCGUUGUUGUUUUUACCAGAUGGGUUCUUGGAAAGAACAAUAGAAAUUGGAUUGGUGAUCGACUCAUGGGCACCGCAACUAGCUAUUCUGAAGCAUGCCGCAAUAGGAGGUUUCUUGACGCACUGUGGGUGGAACUCGUCUUUAGAGAGCAUAGUGCACUCUGUUCCGAUGAUCGCAUGGCCUCUCUACGCGGAGCAAAAUAUGAAUGCCGUGAUGUUGGCGGAGGAAUUGAAGAUUGCGAUAAGACCGGUGGUCGACGAGAAGCGAGGGAUGAUCGGAAGGGAUGAGAUUUCUAAAGUUGUGAGGGAACUGAUGGAAGGAGAAGAAGGGAAGAACUUGAGAAUUAAUGUAGAAAGAAUUGCAAAAAAUGCCAUCAAAGAAAAUCCUUACAGAUCACUUGAUCCAAUUAUCAACAUAUGGAAAAAUAUGAUACGUACGGAUGUACCUGUUUGACUAUGAAGAUAUCACUGGAGACGUCGACACUAUUGGGAAAAUAGCUGAAGAAAACCUAGCUUCCGAGGAAGAAGACGGCUCGUGAACCGGCAAAACCGCUCCAGACCGACAGAAAAGACCGCUAAACCAGUGAGGUUCAAUGAUUUCGUGAUGGGCCAAGGAAGUAACAAUGAAUAAGCCCAAUGAGAAUUAAUUUAGAAUUUCCUUUAUUAAAAAAACUCCUGUGGCCGGCCCUGUAGUAGUUUAAUUCUGUUUUUCAAAUUCCUAGGUAUAAAAACUGUUGUAAUGAUUGAAAAAAUCUUUAUCGAUUAAAACAACAAAAUAUUUCGCAACCCGAAUCUCCAUCCGGCUCCACGGUUACAUUUUCCGAUCACGAUCUGCUUCUUCUUCGUUCACUGUCGCAUCAAACACUUGAUCUCCUUGCUUAACAGCAAAUAGAAAGAUUGGAGCUAAUAAGACUUGAUUUAAGGGACCCAUCCGCUUGGUGCCUCAGACCCAGGGUUAAUAGAUCUUGGACAGAGGCACCUAAAUGGACAGGUUGAUUUGUUUCUUACGCAUCUUUUAGAAUGGUUUCAAAAUAACACUUCAAAUUAAAGCACACUACUCGUUAUAACUAUCAUAUUAUAAUUCGAAUUCGAAUUCAGAUGUCAAAAAUAAUAUUCGAAAAUUAUUUGGACAGAUUCAGAUAUUUACAGUAAUAUCUAUCGUUAAAAUUCGAAUUUAAUUUUUGAUAAUAUUUAAUAAUUAUUAUUUAUAAACUUAAUUAAAUUAUAUUAUUAUUUAAGAUUUUAGAGUGAUUAAUUAACUAUUAGUUAACUUUAUUAAAGUUGAUUUUAUACUUUCCUCAUUUCAUUUUAAUGUUUUUUAUAAUAAAAAAUUGUCUAAAUUCAGAUUUUUCAAAUAUUCAAAAAUUUAUCCGAAAAUCCGAUCCAUUUAUUUUCGUCCUAGUCAUCGUGUUUGACUACAUUACCAACCAGUUGGUACUCAACGAUAGAUACCGGAGUAGCCGUACAAUAUAAUACUAGGUAAGCCACUUGCCGACAAUUUAUUCGGCGGUGUACCCACUUUAUCUAGAAGGUUCAGAUUUUUUUUCCCAUUCAACUCGUAUCAUGACAUCAUCCACUAUGUCAUUCAUAUCAUCAUCAUCUUCGCAAAUUAUUCUGAUUUUGUCUUAUAAAUUGAACAUGUUGGUGCAAUCAAGUCAAAAAUGGCAAAUAACCCACCUCAUGUUGUCAUCUUGCCAAGUCCCGGGAUGGGUCACCUGAUUCCGUUGGCCGAGUUUGCUAAACUUCUUACGACCAACUACGGCGUAAACGUCACCUUCCUAACUCUCGACGACUCCCCACAAAUCAAAUCCUUCAUCAAUGCUCUCCCAGAUACCAUCACCUACAUUCCUCUACCCAUACCAGAUUUGCCACCAACAGAGAUAGCGGUGAAGCGGAUGAUACUCAUCGUAGCUCAUUGUCUGCCCUUUCUCCGCGAAGUUAUGGCGAAGUUGAAAGCCUCGACUAACCUUGUGGCCUUCGUUGUAGAUCUGAUGGGUACAAAAACCUUUGAAGUCGCUAAGGAACUCGGUGUCAGUCCCUACAUCAUGUUUCCGUCGACAGCAACGUUUCUGAACUUGAUUUUCCAUCUACCGGAGCUCGAUCGGACUAUCCAAGGAGAGUAUAAGGACCAUCCUCAUCUCAUCCAGAUUCCUGGUUCUGCUCCGAUCCAUGGCAAGGAUUUUCCAAUGCCGUUUCUUCAAGAUAGGAAGAGCCAAGCGUACAUUUCUUCUUUUCAGAUAUGCGUCAGAUUCAAGGAAGCCGCGGGUAUUUUCAUUAACAGUGCUUCUGCCAUCGAAUCUGGACCGAUUAAGGCGCUAAUGAACAUGAAUAGUCCUCCGGUCUAUCCAAUCGGACCGUUAGUACAUGAUACUAACAGUGAAGAUGAUAGCUCUGGUUGCAUCAAGUGGUUGGACGAACAACUACCCGGAUCAGUUCUUUUCGUCAGCUUCGGAAGCGGUGGGAGACUUUCGUCGGAGCAGUUUACUGAACUGGCUGUAGGACUAGAGAUGAGAGGGCAUAGAUUCCUUUGGAUUGCACGUAGUCCGACGGAGACAGAAGAAAGAGGGUUCUUCGAAGUGAAAAGCAAAAGCGACCCGUUGUUGUUUUUACCAGAUGGGUUCUUGGAAAGAACAAAAGAAAUUGGAUUGGUGGUCGAUUCAUGGGCGCCGCAAUUAGCGAUUCUAAAGCAUGCCGCGAUAGGAGGCUUCUUGACGCACUGUGGGUGGAACUCGUCUUUAGAGAGCAUAGUGCACUCUGUUCCGAUGAUCGCAUGGCCUCUCUACGCGGAGCAAAAUAUGAAUGCAGCGAUGUUGGCGGGGGAAUUGAAGAUUGCGAUAAGACCUGUGGUCGACGAGAAGCGAGGUUUGAUCGGAAGGGAUGAGAUUUCUAAAGUUGUGAGGGAACUGAUGGAAGGAGAAGAAGGGAAGAAGUUGAGAAUUCAUGUGAAAAGAAUUGCAGAAAACGCCAUCAAAGAAGAUUCUUACAGAUCACUUGAUCCAAUUGUCAACAUAUGGAAAAAUAACAUUUCAACUUAGAUGCUGUUUUCAUCUUCAAAAUUAUAUAAUUUAUAUUAUUAAUUUAAAACAAGUUUCAAAAAAGCUGGCUUGAAACAACUUAGAAAUAGGUUUCUUUCAAGCAAAAUCUGAUUAUUUUGAAAAGAAAAUAAUCAAAACAUUCUAUAUCUUAUUGUUUGGCCAGACCUAAGUUUCUCAGCUAUAUAAUAAGGUAUAUAAAAAAUGCAAACAUGAUGAUUAGAGAAUAUUGUGAUGCUGAUUGGGCACCUUGUCAAAUUAACAGAAAAUCUUUAACAGAGUUUUGUAUCAUGCUAGGAGACUCAUUAAUCUUUUGGAAAACAAAGAAACAAAACACACUAGUCAGAUCAUCACGUGAGACAAAAUAUAGAGUCGUAGCUCAAGUAACAUGUGAAAUUUAUAUGGAUCCAUCAACUAAUAGAUGAACUCAAAAUUAUAAUCAUUAAGCUCAUAGACCUCUACUGUGAUAAUAAAUCGGCAAUUCACCUAGUAAAUAAUCCAGUCUUUCAUGAAAGGGCAAAACACAUAAAGGUGGAUUGUCAUUUCAUAAAAUAGAUAAUAAAUCAAAAAAAGAUCUCAUUGAAGCAAAUUGAAACUAAGUUCUAACUUUCAGAUUUUCUCACAAAAACACUUGCUAAGAAAGAGAUCACAACAUAUUCCACUCCAAACUUGGAAUAUUAAACAUAUAUUCAAAAGCUUGAGGGAGAGUAAAGGAAUUACCAUGUUUUCCAAUAUAAAUCAGAAUGAAUUACUGUAAAAGAUAUAAUUCUGUUUUAAUUAAGAUCAGAGGAAUUAAAACAAAUUAUCUGUUCAAGAACACUAUGAAGGUAAAUGAUCCAAUACUAACACCAGUUAUAUUAAAGAAGUUUGAGGCUAACAACGCAAAAAGUUUCAAUAAACCUCGUGCUCGUGUAAUAACAAGAAAGCUUGGGAUGAAAGUUACAAAUGUUUAAAUAACACAUAUUGGACCAAUUCGCUACUGGGCUACACGAUGGGCCAGAUUCAAAUAGUUAAAUAAAACUGUUUUGUAAUAUGUUAACUGUAAUUAGUUUAAUGUGUGUUAACUGUUAAGUAUUAUAUAAACAGAUGUAAACUGUGAUUAAUCAAUUGAAUGAAAAUACACUUAGUGACAAUUAAUCACUCUCUUAAUCACUCUUCAACAGAUUUUAGGGUAGCAGUUAGUUCGAAGAACCCUAGAAUCAGCCCCCUUUCUUGUAAUCUCACUACGUGGUCGAUUGAGUCGCUCUCUGCAUCAAUUCCUCUCCGGUAGUGUCAGUUAUGCAUAGAUUUAACAAAGAUUAAUUAAGAUUGGUGUAGUUUUAAUUCUCAGGAAUAAAAACACCAGUGAUUAACCCGGUUGAUCAAAUACAAUAUUAAAGUUUUUGAAAUCAAAUCUUAAUGUGUGCAUUUUAAUUUAUAUUUAUAUAUGUAUUACAUAUAGGACUUGAUUAUAAACUCGUUAAGGGUUUUUUAAUAAUUAAAUAAAAUAUAGAUAUUAAUUAAUAAUGACUAUUGAUAUCCUUAUCAAAGUUCAAACUUGCAUCCAAACCAAAGAUUUUGGAAUUUUGACCGAUUAUUUUGGAAUUUUGACCGAUUAUUUUGGAAUUAUACCUGAUUAAAAGGAUGUUCGAGUCAAACAUAUUCAUUUUCUAUAACAAUAGAAAUACUUACCUUGAUAUAUAAGAGUUUUAUCGUACUGAAAUUUAAAGUACACAACAAACGAGACUCGUAUCAUAAAUAUUAAUAAACCCUAAAAAUUAUUGUAAACAGUUAAGAUAAUCUUCAAAUAUGGUUGUCUACCAACGACCCAUUACGAAGGGUAAAUUGUAGUGAUACCCUAUAAUUUUACUUUCAGAUUUAGAUUCGUCAUGUUGUAACUGUUAGAACAACGAGGAGCUCGUAUUGGUUAGACGACCGGAGUUGGGUCGGCAGAAGUCGCCGCUGGAAUCGCCAUCGGAAAGAGGAGAAAGAAUUGAAUUAAUUAGAACUGAAUUAAUUAGUUCUGUCUGUAUAAUUAGAACUGAAUUAAUUGGCAACUAAUUUAAUUCUAAGUUACGUAAGUAAUUUAACUUGUAACGAAUCUUUUCAAACUUCCAAGGUCAUGACAUCAUCCAUGAUCUCAUUCAAUAUGAAAAAUAUCUGGUCUUUCGAUCGGUCUUAUAAAUGGUGUAGUUUGAAACAUCGGUAUCGACAUUCGUAUCCACACCAAAAAGUUAUCGAAAAUGGGAAGUUGUCAAGCACCACCAUCACCACCUCAUGUUGCUAUCUUGCCGAGUCCCGGGAUGGGUCAUCUGAUUCCGUUGGCCGAGUUUGCCAAACUUCUUACGACCAACUACGGGAUAACCGUCACCUUCCUAACUCUCGACGAAUCACCGAGAAUCAACUCCUUCAUCAAUGCUCUCCCAGAUACCAUCACCCAUAUUUCCCUGCCCAAACCAUCACUCCACGACUUACCACCGGAGGCUAAGGCGGAGACGCGUACCUCGUUCACAAUGUCCCGUUGUCUCCCGUUUCUCCGUGAGGUUAUGGUGAAGUUGAAAGCGACGACCAACCUUGCGGCCUUGGUUGUAGAUCUUUUCGGUACGAAUGCAUUCGACGUUGCUACGGAUCUCGAGAUCAAUCCUUACAUCAUGUUUCCGUCGACUGCUACGUUGCUUAAUCUCAUGUUCCAUCUCGAGGACCUCGACCGGACCAUCCAAGGAGAGUAUCGAGACCAUCCUGAUCUCAUUCGGAUUCCAGGUUGCGUCCCGUUUCACGGUAAAGAUUUGUUGGUGCCGGUGCAAGAUAGGAAGGACCA